UAUAUAUUUCCUUCGUCCGAAAUUACUUGUCAUCAAAAUGGAUGAAAAUGAAUGUAUAUAGAACUAAAAUAUAUAUAUAGAUACAUCUAUUUCUUUUUUUUUGCGAUGUAUAGAUACAUCCAUUUCAAUGACAAGUAUUUCCGGACGGAGGGAGUACUUG
Non-coding RNA from Triticum aestivum (bread wheat), 160 nucleotides. NCBI's taxonomy places the organism in Eukaryota, Viridiplantae, Streptophyta, Magnoliopsida, Poales, Poaceae. The record is from Rfam.